CCUACUUUGCUACUGCUAUAGACGAGGGGCAAUUUCUCCAUGGACAAGCUGUAUAGGAACCGUUCCCUUGCACCAAUCAUAUUGUCGGUGCUUCUUGUCACGUGCUUCACUACGACCCAUGUGCAGUCUAGAAUAUUGGAAGAGGUGGAAAGGGUUAAGAUCCAUCUAAAUGGUAUGUGCCUCCUUAAUACGUGCACAAACGACCCACGGAUUUGCUACUACUGCUGUUUAGUAAAGGAUAAGUGCUACCACUCAGUUGAUGAGUGCAAGGCUGACUGUCCCAAGAUUUCUCCCCUGGACCCAGCCCCGGCGACGAUCCUUGCACCAUCGACUCCUAUCUAAUCUAAUUAUAUAGCUUCUCAAGUAUAAUGCAUGAUGUACCGAUGAAUAAUUUGGAUGAAAAUAAAUGCCAUGAUGUUCGUGUUUCA
Triticum dicoccoides is the source of this 428-nucleotide long non-coding RNA. RefSeq lists it as uncharacterized. Lineage: Eukaryota; Viridiplantae; Streptophyta; Magnoliopsida; Poales; Poaceae. The record is from RefSeq and is a predicted model, not a curated record. The transcript has 2 exons.